AUUGAACGCUGGCGGCAUGCUUUACACAUGCAAGUCGAACGGCAGCGCGGGCUUCGGCCUGGCGGCGAGUGGCGAACGGGUGAGUAAUACAUUGGAACGUGCCCAGUAGUGGGGGAUAGCUCGGCGAAAGCCGGAUUAAUACCGCAUACGGCCUGAGGGUGAAAGCGGGGGAUCUUCGGACCUCGCGCUAUUGGAGCGGCCGAUGGCAGAUUAGCUAGUUGGUGGGGUAAAGGCCUACCAAGGCGACGAUCUGUAGCUGGUCUGAGAGGACGACCAGCCACACUGGGACUGAGACACGGCCCAGACUCCUACGGGAGGCAGCAGUGGGGAAUUUUGGACAAUGGGCGAAAGCCUGAUCCAGCAAUGCCGCGUGUGUGAUGAAGGCCUUCGGGUUGUAAAGCACUUUUGGCGGGAACGAAAAGGACUGUGCCAAUACCACGGUUCGAUGACGGUACCCGCAGAAUAAGCACCGGCUAACUACGUG
RNAcentral lists this ribosomal RNA (484 nucleotides) under uncultured bacterium. Its description in RNAcentral is "partial 16S ribosomal RNA". It matches the Rfam family "Bacterial small subunit ribosomal RNA", at positions 29 to 507 of the family's 1533-position model. The record is from RNAcentral.